Molecule: ribosomal RNA, 95 nt
Filed under: uncultured bacterium
Lineage: Bacteria
Description: partial 16S ribosomal RNA
Rfam family: Bacterial small subunit ribosomal RNA
Source: RNAcentral
CACCGCCCGUCACAUCACGAAAGUGGGCUGUACUAGAAGCCGGUGAGCUAACCGCAAGGAAGCAGCCGUCCAAGGUAUAACUCAUGAUUGGGGUG